This 253-nucleotide ribosomal RNA is filed under the name uncultured bacterium. RNAcentral describes it as "partial 16S ribosomal RNA". It matches the Rfam family "Bacterial small subunit ribosomal RNA", at positions 524 to 776 of the family's 1533-position model. The record is from RNAcentral.
GACGAACUGUGCAAACGUUAUUCGGAAUCACUGGGCUUAAAGGGUGCGUAGGCGGUCUCGUAAGUAGGGUGUGAAAGCCCCCGGCUCAACCGGGGAACUGCGUUCUAAACUGCGAGGCUUGAGUGAGGCAGGGGUGUGUGGAACUUCCAGUGGAGCGGUGAAAUGUGUUGAUAUUGGAAGGAACGCCGGUGGCGAAAGCGACACACUGGGCCUUGUCUGACGCUGAGGCACGAAAGCCAGGGGAGCGAACGGG